This 200-nucleotide unclassified non-coding RNA is filed under the name Sebacina sp. Its description in RNAcentral is "partial internal transcribed spacer 2". Lineage: Eukaryota; Fungi; Basidiomycota; Agaricomycetes; Sebacinales; Sebacinaceae. The record is from RNAcentral.
UUAAGUUCGCGGUGAGCCUACUCGAUUUGAGGUCAAGUUGUCAGUUGUUGUCCGAAGACGGUUUGAAGCACAGAGCUCCCGAUCGGCCACCCUCUGUGAGGAGGUGCCGGCGAAGACACUUAUCACGCCGUACUAUGUCCAACCGAAAGGUGCACUAAUGCAUUUAAGGUGAGCCACAGUAACGCAGCAACACCCAAGUC